This 424-nucleotide ribosomal RNA is filed under the name uncultured bacterium. Its description in RNAcentral is "partial 16S ribosomal RNA". It matches the Rfam family "Bacterial small subunit ribosomal RNA", at positions 360 to 776 of the family's 1533-position model. The record is from RNAcentral.
AAUCUUGGACAAUGGUCGCAAGCCUGAUCCAGCCAUGCAGCGUGAUUGAAGAAGGCCUUCGGGUAGUAAAUCUCUUUCGUUCGGCAAGAAAUCGCGCAGGCUAAUAGCCUGCGCGGAUGACUGUACCGCCAUAAGAAGCAUCGGCUAACUACGUGACAGCAGCCGCGGUAAUAGGUAGGGUGCGAGCGUUAAUCAGAAUUACUGGGCGUAAAGCGUGCGCAGGCGGUUGAUUAAGACAGGCGUGAAAUCCCCGGGCUUAACCUGGGAACUGCGCUUGUGACUGGUCAGCUAGAGUACGGCAGAGGGGGGUGGAAUUCCACGUGUAGCAGUGAAAUGCGUAGAGAUGUGGAGGAACACCGAUGGCGAAGGCAGCCCCCUGGGCCGAUACUGACGCUCAUGCACGAAAGCGUGGGUAGCAAACAGG